RNAcentral lists this unclassified non-coding RNA (647 nucleotides) under uncultured Prochlorococcus sp. RNAcentral describes it as "partial 16S-23S ribosomal RNA intergenic spacer; may also contain 16S ribosomal RNA and 23S ribosomal RNA". The stretch from base 304 to 376 matches the Rfam family "tRNA". The record is from RNAcentral. Lineage: Bacteria; Bacillati; Cyanobacteriota; Cyanophyceae; Synechococcales; Prochlorococcaceae.
UUGUGGAGGAGGACGCCGAAGGUGGGGCUAAUGACUGGGGUGAAGUCGUAACAAGGUAGCCGUACCGGAAGGUGCGGCUGGAUCACCUCCUAACAGGGAGACAACAAAAUGUUUAAUAUUAUUAUUUUGUCACCUUAGGUCGAUCGGUAUCUCACGUUUUUAAUUUAUUAAGAAUUUCAUUUCCUAAGUUUUUCUAGGUCACACCCAUUAUUUUCCUGGGCCAUUAGCUCAGGUGGUUAGAGCGCACCCCUGAUAAGGGUGAGGUCCCUGGUUCAAGUCCAGGAUGGCCCAUAUCUCUAUGUUGGGGGUAUAGCUCAGUUGGUAGAGCGCCUGCUUUGCAAGCAGGAUGUCAGCGGUUCGAGUCCGCUUACCUCCACUGAUCACCACCUCUUCCAUAAUUGGUAGAAAGGAAAAUUUUUUGAGUUGUGAUCAAAUUCUGAAAGAAUCCAGCUUCCUAAUGAAAUCAUUAAGAUGCUGGACUCAUUAAAUUAAUUUCAUUGUUUUCAGAGAACCUUGACAACUGCAUAGAUUAUUUUUAAAGACAAUAAGCAUCUUUAAUGAUGCAGAUUUAUUAUUUGUGCAAAUGCAUUAAUAACAAUUCUAUUAAGCUGAUGCUUCAAUAUUUGAAGUUAUUGGUCAAGCUACAA